RNAcentral lists this ribosomal RNA (694 nucleotides) under Pseudomonas sp. RNAcentral describes it as "bacterial SSU rRNA". It matches the Rfam family "Bacterial small subunit ribosomal RNA", at positions 329 to 1013 of the family's 1533-position model. Lineage: Bacteria; Pseudomonadati; Pseudomonadota; Gammaproteobacteria; Pseudomonadales; Pseudomonadaceae. The record is from RNAcentral.
CCCUUUACUCCCUACGGGAGGCAGCAGUGGGGAAUAUUGGACAAUGGGCGAAAGCCUGAUCCAGCCAUGCCGCGUGUGUGAAGAAGGUCUUCGGAUUGUAAAGCACUUUAAGUUGGGAGGAAGGGUUGUAGAUUAAUACUCUGCAAUUUUGACGUUACCGACAGAAUAAGCACCGGCUAACUCUGUGCCAGCAGCCGCGGUAAUACAGAGGGUGCAAGCGUUAAUCGGAAUUACUGGGCGUAAAGCGCGCGUAGGUGGUUCGUUAAGUUGGAUGUGAAAUCCCCGGGCUCAACCUGGGAACUGCAUCCAAAACUGGCGAGCUAGAGUAUGGUAGAGGGUGGUGGAAUUUCCUGUGUAGCGGUGAAAUGCGUAGAUAUAGGAAGGAACCACCAGUGGCGAAGGCGACCACCUGGACUGAUACUGACACUGAGGUGCGAAAGCGUGGGGAGCAAACAGGAUUAGAUACCCUGGUAGUCCACGCCGUAAACGAUGUCAACUAGCCGUUGGGAGCCUUGAGCUCUUAGUGGCGCAGCUAACGCAUUAAGUUGACCGCCUGGGGAGUACGGCCGCAAGGUUAAAACUCAAAUGAAUUGACGGGGGCCCGCACAAGCGGUGGAGCAUGUGGUUUAAUUUGAAGCAACGCGAAGAACCUUACCAGGCCUUGACAUCCAAUGAACUUCCCAGAGAUGGGAUU